This 1102-nucleotide long non-coding RNA is filed under the name Helianthus annuus (common sunflower). RNAcentral describes it as "hypothetical non coding rna". The record is from RNAcentral. Lineage: Eukaryota; Viridiplantae; Streptophyta; Magnoliopsida; Asterales; Asteraceae.
ACCCUUUUAAAUGACCAAAAUGCCCUUAUGAGGCAUAGUUUGGGUUUAAAAACCACUUGGGGCAUAAUGGAAGGUAUCAUUCUGAUAUCACAACAUGUUUAAGGCAUAUUAACUUAGGAAACUUGUAUAUGACUCUUAUGGUUACUCGUUACACACUUUAUGCGUUCGGAUCGGCAUAGGUAACUAGUUUACCCAUUAUAGCCGAAACGGGUCAAACCAUAUCAUUUCAGUCUCAAAAUCCAGAAUGUGAUUAAGUUACCCAUAUUAAACAAGUAUGCAAGCUUGUUGGGUCAAAACCACAUUCUAAGACGGUCUUCGCCUUAUCGUGCGUUUAAACCGUAAUCUUCAUUUGAGAACUAACCGGUCUAGGCUUAGGCCAAAUUAAAAGACCCGUUAGGAUUCUAAUAGGUUAUUAAAAACCUUCGUUCCAGAUUUAGGAGCCCAGUAAAAGCUAUCUGUACUUGCUUGGUGGUAUACGACUGGGAUUAAAUUUAUAUUUAGCUCAGGUAAAUACGUUUAACUUAUUUUCCCUAUACGGGCUUGGGGUACGGUAUAUAAAAUACCGCUUGGUCGGGUAAUUGACCUUAACCGGUCGGUGGUUAAGAGUAGUCAAAUAACCCGUUUGAAAAUGCUGUUUUGUUUGUAUAAUGCCUUUGGGGGCUUAAUGACCAUGUCCCGGAUAUCCUUAGCAUCAUUCAAAGAAUGGCCACGACCUUAGCAUACGGGUGUAGGCGUACACCCGUAGUGCAUUAAAUAAAGUAUAACAGUCGGUACGAGAGGAAAUCUCGCGGCGGAACUAUACUAUGUGGUGUGUCUAUUAAACUUUAAUCCGGCACGACCCGGAUACUGAACGCUAACAAACAUGUAAUUCUUUUACAAGAUUAUAGGCAAAUAAUUGUCCCAAGUUAUAAAAUGUUUUGUACUACGCGUAAUAGGCUGGUUUCUCCUAGCAUCAAAUAGAAGUCUCGCAAGCUUAGAUGCCUGAAGUCCGUUGAACAAUGUUUUAUUUUAUUCUGCGAUCCGCCUGUGGAUCUUUUACUUUCCGUUUGUAAUACUUGGAUAUUACUUCAUAUCGGAUUGUAAUAUAUUUUGCUUCCGCUGU